UACGGAGGGAGCUAGCGUUGUUCGGAAUUACUGGGCGUAAAGCGCACGUAGGCGGCUUUGUAAGUUAGAGGUGAAAGCCCGGGGCUCAACUCCGGAACUGCCUUUAAGACUGCAUCGCUUGAAUCCAGGAGAGGUGAGUGGAAUUCCGAGUGUAGAGGUGAAAUUCGUAGAUAUUAGGAAGAACACCAGUGGCGAAGGCGGCUCACUGGCCCGGUACUGACGCUGAGGCGCGAAAGCGUGGGGAGCAAACAGG
RNAcentral lists this ribosomal RNA (253 nucleotides) under uncultured bacterium. RNAcentral's name for it is "partial 16S ribosomal RNA". It matches the Rfam family "Bacterial small subunit ribosomal RNA", at positions 524 to 776 of the family's 1533-position model. The record is from RNAcentral.